GAUGAACGCUGACAGAAUGCUUAACACAUGCAAGUCAACUUGAACUUCGGUUUGGGUGGCGGACGGGUGAGUAACGCGUAAAGAACUUGCCUCACAGUUAGGGACAACAUUUGGAAACGAAUGCUAAUACCUGAUAUUAUGAUUUUAGGGCAUCCUAGAAUUAUGAAAGCUAUAUGCGCUGUGAGAGAGCUUUGCGUCCCAUUAGCUAGUUGGAGAGGUAACGGCUCACCAAGGCGAUGAUGGGUAGCCGGCCUGAGAGGGUGAACGGCCACAAGGGGACUGAGACACGGCCCUUACUCCUGCGGGAGGCAGCAGUGGGGAAUAUUGGACAAUGGACCAAGAGUCUGAUCCAGCAAUUCUGUGUGCACGAUGAAGUUUUUCGGAAUGUAAAGUGCUUUCAGUUGGGAAGAAAAAAAUGACGAUACCAACAGAAGAAGUGACGGCUAAAUACGUG
Molecule: ribosomal RNA, 454 nt
Filed under: uncultured bacterium
Lineage: Bacteria
Description: partial 16S ribosomal RNA
Rfam family: Bacterial small subunit ribosomal RNA
Source: RNAcentral